GUAUUUUGCGCACAUAUACCAAAAUCGGUACGAUACAGAGAGGAUUAACAUGGCCCUGUGCAAGGAUGACACGCAAAACCGUGAAGCAUUCCAUAUAAAA
This 100-nucleotide small nuclear RNA is filed under the name Schistosoma margrebowiei. The record is from RNAcentral. Lineage: Eukaryota; Metazoa; Platyhelminthes; Trematoda; Strigeidida; Schistosomatidae.